UACGGGGGGGGCAAGCGUUGUUCGGAAUUACUGGGCGUAAAGCGCGUGUAGGCUGCUCUGCAAGUCGGGUGUGAAAGCCCUGGGCUCAACCUAGGAAGUGCACUCGAAACUGCAGAGCUGGAGUCCUGGAGAGGAAGGCGGAAUUCUCGGUGUAGAGGUGAAAUUCGUAGAUAUCGAGAGGAACACCGGUGGCGAAGGCGGCCUUCUGGACAGUGACUGACGCUGAGACGCGAAAGCGUGGGGAGCAAACAGG
RNAcentral lists this ribosomal RNA (253 nucleotides) under uncultured bacterium. RNAcentral describes it as "partial 16S ribosomal RNA". It matches the Rfam family "Bacterial small subunit ribosomal RNA", at positions 524 to 776 of the family's 1533-position model. The record is from RNAcentral.